This 490-nucleotide ribosomal RNA is filed under the name uncultured bacterium. RNAcentral's name for it is "partial 16S ribosomal RNA". It matches the Rfam family "Bacterial small subunit ribosomal RNA", at positions 30 to 507 of the family's 1533-position model. The record is from RNAcentral.
AUUGAACGCUGGCGGCAGGCCUAACACAUGCAAGUCGAACGGUAACAGGAAGAAGCUUGCUUCUUUGCUGACGAGUGGCGGACGGGUGAGUAAUGUCUGGGAAGCUGCCUGAUGGAGGGGGAUAACUACUGGAAACGGUAGCUAAUACCGCAUAACGUCGCAAGACCAAAGAGGGGGACCUUCGGGCCUCUUGCCAUCGGAUGUGCCCAGAUGGGAUUAGCUAGUAGGUGGGGUAACGGCUCACCUAGGCGACGAUCCCUAGCUGGUCUGAGAAGAUGACCAGCCACACUGGAACUGAGACACGGUCCAGACUCCUACGGGAGGCAGCAGUGGGGAAUAUUGCACAAUGGGCGCAAGCCUGAUGCAGCCAUGCCGCGUGUAUGAAGAAGGCCUUCGGGUUGUAAAGUACUUUCAGCGGGGAGGAAGGGAGUAAAGUUAAUACCUUUGCUCAUUGACGUUACCCGCAGAAGAAGCACCGGCUAACUCCGUG